GACGAACGCUGGCGGCGUGCUUAACACAUGCAAGUCGAACGGAAAGGCCCUGCUUUUGUGGGGUGCUCGAGUGGCGAACGGGUGAGUAACACGUGAGUAACCUGCCCUUGACUUUGGGAUAACUUCAGGAAACUGGGGCUAAUACCGGAUAGGAGCUCCUGCUGCAUGGUGGGGGUUGGAAAGUUUCGGCGGUUGGGGAUGGACUCGCGGGUUAUCAGCUUGUUGGUGGGGUAGGGGCUUACGAGGGCUUUGACGGGUAGCCGGCCUGAGAGGGGGACCGGCCACAUUGGUACUGAGAUACGGACCAGAACCCUACGGGACGCAGCAGGGGGAAAUAUGGCACAAUGGGGGGAAGCGUGAUGCAGCAACGCCGCGUGCGGGAUGACGGCUUUCGGGUUGUAAACCGCUUUCGCCUGUGACGAAGCGUGAGUGACGGUAAUGGGUAAGGAAGCAACGGCUAACUACGUG
This 468-nucleotide ribosomal RNA is filed under the name uncultured bacterium. RNAcentral's name for it is "partial 16S ribosomal RNA". It matches the Rfam family "Bacterial small subunit ribosomal RNA", at positions 28 to 507 of the family's 1533-position model. The record is from RNAcentral.